RNAcentral lists this non-coding RNA (29 nucleotides) under Homo sapiens (human). The record is from RNAcentral. Lineage: Eukaryota; Metazoa; Chordata; Mammalia; Primates; Hominidae.
UACUGUUACUGAGUCCAGGGUCCCGCUUC